RNAcentral lists this ribosomal RNA (222 nucleotides) under Staphylococcus aureus. Its description in RNAcentral is "partial 16S ribosomal RNA". It matches the Rfam family "Bacterial small subunit ribosomal RNA", at positions 1 to 218 of the family's 1533-position model. Lineage: Bacteria; Bacillati; Bacillota; Bacilli; Caryophanales; Staphylococcaceae. The record is from RNAcentral.
UUUAUGGAGAGUUUGAUCCUGGCUCAGGAUGAACGCUGGCGGCGUGCCUAAUACAUGCAAGUCGAGCGAACGGACGAGAAGCUUGCUUCUCUGAUGUUAGCGGCGGACGGGUGAGUAACACGUGGAUAACCUACCUAUAAGACUGGGAUAACUUCGGGAAACCGGAGCUAAUACCGGAUAAUAUUUUGAACCGCAUGGUUCAAAAGUGAAAGACGGUCUUGC